CCCUGUAGCAUUUCAAACUAACAAAUUAUUUCAUUAUAGUAAUGGAUGCUAAUUUGUGUUCUCUGCACUGUGAAGAUCAUAUAUGAUGCUGCCAACAUUAUCACAAAUGUGGAAGCCAAGUGGCCAGGCUCUGUCCAUGACUCACAAAUAUUCCGUGAAUGUACACUGAGCACAAAAUUUGGACAUGGAGAGUUCACUGGCUACUUGCUUGGUGAUAGGGGGUAUCCAUGUUUACCCUAUUUGCUUACCCCUUACCCUGACCCUGAACCGGGCCCACAGCAGCGA
Haplochromis burtoni (Burton's mouthbrooder) is the source of this 285-nucleotide long non-coding RNA. RefSeq lists it as uncharacterized. The record is from RefSeq and is a predicted model, not a curated record. NCBI's taxonomy places the organism in Eukaryota, Metazoa, Chordata, Actinopteri, Cichliformes, Cichlidae. The transcript has 2 exons.